GCUAAAUACUCUCUAGUGACCGAUAGUGAACCAGUACCGUGAGGGAAAGGUGAAAAGCACCCCGGAAGGAGAGUGAAAUAGAACCUGAAACCGUGUGCUUACAAGUAGUCAGAGCCCGUUAAUGGGUGAUGGCGUGCCUUUUGUAGAAUGAACCGGCGAGUUACGAUUUGAUGCAAGGUUAAGCAGUAAAUGUGGAGCCGUAGCGAAAGCGAGUCUGAAUAGGGCGUUUAGUAUUUGGUCGUAGACCCGAAACCAGGUGAUCUACCCUUGGUCAGGUUGAAGUUCAGGUAACACUGAAUGGAGGACCGAACCGACUUACGUUGAAAAGUGAGCGGAUGAACUGAGGGUAGCGGAGAAAUUCCAAUCGAACCUGGAGAUAGCUGGUUCUCUCCGAAAUAGCUUUAGGGCUAGCCUCAAGUGAUGAUUAU
RNAcentral lists this ribosomal RNA (428 nucleotides) under Staphylococcus aureus. RNAcentral's name for it is "partial 23S ribosomal RNA". It matches the Rfam family "Bacterial large subunit ribosomal RNA", at positions 465 to 896 of the family's 2925-position model. The record is from RNAcentral. Lineage: Bacteria; Bacillati; Bacillota; Bacilli; Caryophanales; Staphylococcaceae.